CCUACGGGAGGCAGCAGUGGGGAAUUUUGGACAAUGGGCGCAAGCCUGAUCCAGCCAUGCCGCGUGAGUGAAGAAGGCCUUCGGGUUGUAAAGCUCUUUCGUCAGGAACGAAACGGCGGGCUCUAACAUAGCCUGUUAAUGACGGUACCUGAAGAAGAAGCACCGGCUAACUACGUGCCAGCAGCCGCGGUAAU
Molecule: ribosomal RNA, 194 nt
Filed under: uncultured bacterium
Lineage: Bacteria
Description: partial 16S ribosomal RNA
Rfam family: Bacterial small subunit ribosomal RNA
Source: RNAcentral